AAAAGGAGGAAUCCGCCCAAGGAGGGGCUCGCGUCUGAUUAGUUAGUUGGUGAGGCAAUGGCUUACCAAGGCGACGAUCAGUAGCUGGUCCGAGAGGAUGAUCAGCCACACUGGGACUGAGACACGGCCCAGACUCCUACGGGAGGCAGCAGUGGGGAAUUUUCCGCAAUGGGCGAAAGCCUGACGGAGCAAUGCCGCGUGAAGGCAGAAGGCCCACGGGUCAUGAACUUCUUUUCUCGGAGAA
This 244-nucleotide ribosomal RNA is filed under the name uncultured organism. RNAcentral's name for it is "partial 16S ribosomal RNA". It matches the Rfam family "Bacterial small subunit ribosomal RNA", at positions 202 to 446 of the family's 1533-position model. The record is from RNAcentral.